Molecule: long non-coding RNA, 905 nt
Organism: Scylla paramamosain (green mud crab)
Lineage: Eukaryota; Metazoa; Arthropoda; Malacostraca; Decapoda; Portunidae
Exons: 3
Source: RefSeq, a predicted model, not a curated record
CACACACACACACACACACACACACACACACACACACACACACACACACACACACACACUCAUUCUCUCUCUCUCUCUCUCUCUCUCUCUCUCUCUCUCUCUCUCUCUCUCUCUCUCUCUCUCUCUCUCUCUCUCUCUCUCUCUCUCUCUCUCUCAUAAAACACACACACACACACACACACACACACACACACACACACACACACACACACACACACACACACACACACACACACACACACACACACACACACACACUCUCUCUCUGUCUCUCUCUCUCUCUCUCUCUCUCUCUCUCUCUCUCUCUCUCUCUCUCUCUCUCUCUCUCUCUCUCUCUCUCUCUCUCUCUCUCUCUCUCUCUCUCUCUCUCUCUCUCUAAACACACACACACACACACACACACACACACACACACAGAAAUAUAAUUAUGACAGCGUGGCCUUGAAUUAAAUCUCCACUGGUCGAUUCACUGCUAUGGACGGUACCACAAAAAAACAAAAAAUAAAAAAAUGAAAUCAAUCAAUGAAUUUACUAGCCAUAGCAACUUCCCUUGGCUCAGCAUUUGACUUGCCUUACGUAGUGAUGCAUCCCAACAUAGAGUCCCAACAUAGAGUCCCAAGUCAUAGAGGUUUUCUGUUUCCCGCCCUUCAAGUUGCUGGGGGAUUUUAGACGAGUGUGUCAAGAAAACGGAGAACGGAGCGGUGAGGAGCCUCGCUGUGUGGGCCAGGACAAUGACAGCACCUACACUAUCCUGGACCUCUACUACUACUACUACUAUUACUGCUACUACUACCACUGCUACCAACACUGGCCUCUAUGUUGGCCUGGUGUUUGGGUUAAUUUUGUGUCUAAUGUUUGUGGCAACACUGUUCUUCCUUAGACGGAGACAGAGAAGAGGAGGGGGA